RNAcentral lists this ribosomal RNA (433 nucleotides) under uncultured bacterium. RNAcentral's name for it is "partial 16S ribosomal RNA". It matches the Rfam family "Bacterial small subunit ribosomal RNA", at positions 29 to 507 of the family's 1533-position model. The record is from RNAcentral.
AACGAACGCUGGCGGCAUGCCUAACACAUGCAAGUCGAACGAGACCUUCGGGUCUAGUGGCGCACGGGUGCGUAACGCGUGGGAAUCUGCCCUUGGGUUCGGAAUAACUCGCCGAAAGGCGUGCUAAUACCGGAUGAUGACGUAAGUCCAAAGAUUUAUCGCCCAAGGAUGAGCCCGCGUUGGAUUAGCUAGUUGGUGAGGUAAAGGCUCACCAAGGCGACGAUCCAUAGCUGGUCUGAGAGGAUGAUCAGCCACACUGGGACUGAGACACGGCCCAGACUCCUACGGGAAGCAGAAGUGGGGAAUAUUGGAAAAUGGGCGAAAGCCUGAUCCAGCAAUGCCGCGUGAGUGAUGAAGGCCUUAGGGUUGUAAAGCUCUUUUACCCGGGAUGAUAAUGACCGUACCGGGAGAAUAAGCUCCGGCUAACUCCGUG